GGGGAAUUGGUGUAGGGGUAUCGCGUUUGCUUUGCAUUUGUUCAGUCUGAGUGCAAGUCUGUAAAAGGUCAGGGGUUCAAAUCCCCUAUUCUCCA
Molecule: transfer RNA, 95 nt
Organism: Trichoderma virens Gv29-8
Lineage: Eukaryota; Fungi; Ascomycota; Sordariomycetes; Hypocreales; Hypocreaceae
Rfam family: tRNA
About the family: Transfer RNA (tRNA) molecules are approximately 80 nucleotides in length. Their secondary structure includes four short double-helical elements and three loops (D, anti-codon, and T loops).
Source: Rfam